This 501-nucleotide ribosomal RNA is filed under the name uncultured bacterium. RNAcentral describes it as "partial 16S ribosomal RNA". It matches the Rfam family "Bacterial small subunit ribosomal RNA", at positions 30 to 523 of the family's 1533-position model. The record is from RNAcentral.
AUUGAACGCUAGCGGCAUGCCUUACACAUGCAAGUCGAACGGCAGCACGGGUGCUUGCACCUGGUGGCGAGUGGCGAACGGGUGAGUAAUACAUCGGAACGUACCUUAUCGUGGGGGAUAACGCAGCGAAAGUUGCGCUAAUACCGCAUACGCCCUGAGUGGGAAAGCGGGGGUCCGUAAGGCCCCGCGCGAUUUGAGCCGGCGAUGUCUGAUUAGGUUGUUGGUGAGGUAAAAGCUCACCAAGGCGAUGAUCAGUAGCGGGUCUGAGAGGACGAUCAGCCACACUGGGACUGAGAGAAGGCCCAGACUCCUACGGGAGGCAGCAGUGGGGAAUUUUGGACAAUGGGGGCAACCAUGAUCCAGCAAUGCCGCGUGAGUGAAGAAGGCCUUCAGGUUGUAAAGCUCUUUUGUCAGGGAAGAAACAGCAGCUCUAACACAGUCUGCGAAUGACGGUACCUGAAGAAUAAGCACCGGCUAACUACGUGCCAGCAGCCGCGGUAA